Molecule: long non-coding RNA, 1031 nt
Filed under: Oryzias sinensis (Chinese medaka)
Lineage: Eukaryota; Metazoa; Chordata; Actinopteri; Beloniformes; Adrianichthyidae
Description: lncRNA (ENSOSIG00000013967.1)
Source: RNAcentral
AUGUUCAUCAGCCAAAGCUUCAUCAACACAUCAACUUCUCUUUAUCAUCUGAGCUUCCAGCCUCCUCUGAGCGAUCUGAAAGACCUCAUCAGAGCCUUUAAGUCAAACAUGACCAGCUCAGAACCGUGCCCACGCCUGUUCCAUCAGAACCAUGUCCAUGUGUUCCAUCAAAACCAUGUCCACAAGUGUUCCAUCAGAACCAUAUCCCACGCGUGUUCCAUCAGAGCCGUGCCAACGCCGGUUCCAUCAGAACCAUUUCCCACGGGUGUACCAUCAGAGCCGCACACGCGUGUUCCAUCAGAGCAAUGUCCACAUGUGUUCCAUCAGAACCAUGCCCACGCCUGUUCCAUCAGAACUUUGUCCACAAGUGUUCCAUCAGAACCAUGCCCUCGCGUGUUCCAUCAGAGCUUUGUCCACAUGUGUUAAAUCAGAACCGUGUCUAUGCUUGUUCCAUCAGAACCAUGUCCACAUGUGUUCCAUUAGAGCCGUGCCCACGCGUGUUUAAUUAGAUCUUCUUAGCAUUCUCCUGACAACUGAAGCCCAGCUGUUCUGACUGACCACAACCUGAGCCCCCUCACCCCAAGACGAACUGUACCUGAAAAUCUAGGCUUUUCUCUUAGUUUGGUUGUUGGUUUGACCUUUACAUUACAUUAACCCUUGUUUCAUGUUAGAAAAAUUACACUGAUUAGACUGCAGGUCUUUUAAUCCCAUACCGUGAAAAUCCACUCAAACCAGUCAAAAAACUGUUCAAGUCUUCUGGAGCUCAUGGCUGGUGCGUUGGUCAAUGAGACGUCAUAAGAAAAGUGACAAGAAAAACAAACAGAAAUUCCCCCUUCCACUCACAGCCUGGGUCUCUGGCAGAAUCCUGUCCAGAUUUUACGCACUAUUGAGGACCCAGAAUGAGGAGAAGUCACAAUAAUGAAUGAAGAAAAAGAAAGAUUAACCAGAUCAACACAAAAAGCAAAGUGGGUCAAACUGACCCUUUGGGUCACAUAUGGGUUAAUAAUCUCAGCUGUAGUUCAUGGAGCAGA